AACGAACGCUGGCGGCAUGCCUAACACAUGCAAGUCGAACGAGACCUUCGGGUCUAGUGGCGCACGGGUGCGUAACGCGUGGGAAUCUGCCCUUGGGUUCGGAAUAACAGUUGGAAACGACUGCUAAUACCGGAUGAUGACGUAAGUCCAAAGAUUUAUCGCCCAAGGAUGAGCCCGCGUAGGAUUGGCCAGUUGGUGAGGUAAUGGCUCGCCAAGGCGACGAUCCUUAGCUGGUCUGCGAGGAUGCUCAGCCACGCUGGGACUGAGACCCGGCCCAGACUGCUACGGGAGGGAGCAGUGGGGAGUAUUGGGCGCUGGGCGAAAGCGUGAUCCAGCAAUGCCGCGGGUGUGAUGAAGGCCUUAGGGUUGUAAAGCUGUUUUACCCGGGAUGAUAAUGACAGUACCGGGAGAAUAAGCUCCGGCUAACUCCGUG
Molecule: ribosomal RNA, 433 nt
Filed under: uncultured bacterium
Lineage: Bacteria
Description: partial 16S ribosomal RNA
Rfam family: Bacterial small subunit ribosomal RNA
Source: RNAcentral